This 462-nucleotide ribosomal RNA is filed under the name uncultured bacterium. RNAcentral describes it as "partial 16S ribosomal RNA". It matches the Rfam family "Bacterial small subunit ribosomal RNA", at positions 28 to 507 of the family's 1533-position model. The record is from RNAcentral.
GACGAACGCUGGCGGCGUGCUUAACACAUGCAAGUCGAACGGAAAGGCCCUUCGGGGUACUCGAGUGGCGAACGGGUGAGUAACACGUGGGUGAUCUGCCCUGCACUUUGGGAUAAGCCUGGGAAACUGGGUCUAAUACCGAAUAGGACCACGCGCUUCAUGGUGUGUGGUGGAAAGCUUUUGCGGUGUGGGAUGGGCCCGCGGCCUAUCAGCUUGUUGGUGGGGUAAUGGCCUACCAAGGCGACGACGGGUAGCCGGCCUGAGAGGGUGACCGGCCACACUGGGACUGAGAUACGGCCCAGACUCCUACGGGAGGCAGCAGUGGGGAAUAUUGCACAAUGGGCGCAAGCCUGAUGCAGCGACGCCGCGUGAGGGAUGACGGCCUUCGGGUUGUAAACCUCUUUCACCAGGGACGAAGCGUAAGUGACGGUACCUGGAGAAGAAGCGCCGGCCAACUACGUG